RNAcentral lists this transfer RNA (92 nucleotides) under Candidatus Latescibacterota bacterium. Its description in RNAcentral is "Candidatus Latescibacteria bacterium tRNA-Ser". It matches the Rfam family "tRNA". Rfam says of the family: Transfer RNA (tRNA) molecules are approximately 80 nucleotides in length. Lineage: Bacteria; Pseudomonadati; Candidatus Latescibacterota. The record is from RNAcentral.
GGAGAGGUGGCCGAGCGGCUUAAGGCGCCCGCCUGCUAAGCGGGUGUGGGGGUAACACUUCACCGAGGGUUCAAAUCCCUCCCUCUCCGCCA